Molecule: long non-coding RNA, 657 nt
Filed under: Homo sapiens (human)
Lineage: Eukaryota; Metazoa; Chordata; Mammalia; Primates; Hominidae
Description: HSALNT0303306
Source: RNAcentral
ACUCGUGCCUUUGGCGACACAAUGACUCUGCAAAUUGUCCUGUGCCCAGAGGAAACAUUUUUCUGAAAACUUCUGCGCUGGGGCAGAUUUAGGGCAAAGUUAACACUUCAAAAAUAUCUCCAGUAAUUGAGUAAAUUGCUCAUCUGUCAAAUUGGCUCUUUGGCAAAUUACUCUGCUUGCACAUAUUAAUAGCCAAGCUUAGCCAACUUGAAAUAUGGAGAUUUACUGGAAAUCACAGUGAAGUGAAGAGAGAGGCAAGAGCAGAAUUGAAAUUCCCACCUGGCAGCAAAAGAGAGUUAUGCAGAGCCUAUCAGGACCCGUGUUCACACCAGCACUUAGUUUGGAGGAAGCACCUGGAGGAGAUGCAGAGUCCAGAUGUGCGCCCUCUGCCGGAAGCCUACUGCACCAGGACGUAGGCCUGGAGUGGCCCUUAACGCAUUUGGAAAUCAGUCUUCACUAAAAAAACUUCCUCCAAAAUGUUCUUUAACAGCCCUUUAAAAGCCAUUGUUUCAAAACAGUCCAAGGUGGUGAACAAUUAAUAUUUUCGAUUUACAUGAAGACUCUGGAGUAGGAAUUACCUGAGUUGGAAACUCAGUUCUACUCUAUUGGUAUCAGGUUGCAUUCUGUAUCAUCAUUAAAAUUUUCAGAAAAACUCUC